This 578-nucleotide long non-coding RNA is filed under the name Vigna radiata. RNAcentral's name for it is "long non-coding RNA (VRAD_LNC002227)". The record is from RNAcentral. Lineage: Eukaryota; Viridiplantae; Streptophyta; Magnoliopsida; Fabales; Fabaceae.
CUUCAAUUUUGAUCUUUCACGCAUCUCGCCUUCCAAUGAUAGCCCUACACGUCAUUUUUUAUUUUUAUAUCUAACAUAUUUUCGAUCCCAUGUCUAUUAACUCAUCUCUACAUUCCUUUUCACACCUCCUUCUACUACACCACAACUCCAUUUUCAUUUUCUUAAAAUUAUUCCCAUCCUCAACCCAGUGAUCUCCACCGACACCCAACAACAACCUUAAAAAGCUGUCCAACACCCUCCACGUCUCUGCCUACAAGACCCUCUUUUCUUCCAUCACACUCUAACCUACCUUCAACCUUCUCCGUCACCUUCAUCUUCUCCACUUCAUAUCUCCCUCGCCCACAACAUCACGGUGGUACAAGAGACAACCAUGUUUUCUUCUCCAACCCCACGCAUCGCAGAGAGAGACAACCACCGUCUAUUCUCUGUCGUAUUCAGACCCGCCAUUUUCUUCAUCAAUUCAACCCACCAUCUCCAUUUUUCUCCACCCUAAAUUCUCUGUCCCUCAAUAAUUAAUUCACUUUCCCUAAUUUAAUAUUUGGUUAAACAUGAUUUUGUUGCUUCACUUCAAGUAAAAC